Molecule: ribosomal RNA, 437 nt
Filed under: uncultured Thiococcus sp.
Lineage: Bacteria; Pseudomonadati; Pseudomonadota; Gammaproteobacteria; Chromatiales; Chromatiaceae
Description: bacterial SSU rRNA
Rfam family: Bacterial small subunit ribosomal RNA
Source: RNAcentral
UUUUAGUGGCGAACGGGUGCGGAAUGCGUAGGAAUCUACCUUAGAGUGGGGGAUAACUCGGGGAAACUCGAGCUAAUACCGCAUAUUCUCUAUGGAGUGAGAGGGGGCGAAAGCUCUCGCUUUAAGAUGAGCCUACGUCGGAUUAGCUUGUUGGUGGGGUAAAGGCCUACCAAGGCGACGAUCCGUAGCUGGUCUGAGAGGAUGACCAGCCACACUGGGACUGAGAUACGGCCCAGACUCCUACGGGAGGCAGCAGUGGGGAAUAUUGGACAAUGGGCGAAAGCCUGAUCCAGCAAUGCCGCGUGUGUGAAGAAGGCCUUCGGGUUGUAAAGCACUUUCAGUAGGGAGGAAAGAUCCGGGGCUAAUACCCUUGGAUGUUGACGUUACCUACAGAAGAAGCAACGGCUAACUCUGUGCCAGCAGCCGCGGUAAUACAG